Molecule: ribosomal RNA, 695 nt
Filed under: uncultured Bacillus sp.
Lineage: Bacteria; Bacillati; Bacillota; Bacilli; Caryophanales; Bacillaceae
Description: partial 16S ribosomal RNA
Source: RNAcentral
GUAAGUGGGCGACACCUGAAGGAAGCAACGCCGCGUGAGUGAAGAGGGUUCGGUUCGUAAACUCUGUUGUAAGGGAAAAAAGUACAGUAGUAACCGGCUGUACCUUGACGGUACCUUAUUAGAAAGCCACGGCUAAUACGUGCCAGCGCCGCGGUAAAGAACAUGGCAGAUGAGUGUAGAGCCUGCUGCCCCUAAGUAAUGAAGGUGGGGAUGAAUAGCGUGGGGAAAAAAAAAAAUUUCCGAACUGAAGGCUUUCAUGGCAGUUCUUUAACAAUCAGGCCACGUCGUGCAGAGGGCGUUUAUGAAUUGCGCACUCUUCCUUCCCUCCGCAACUGACUCAAAUGCGCUCGGUCGUUCGGCUGCAGCCAGCGGUAUCAUCUCACUCUAAGGCGGUAAUACGGUUAUCCACAGAUUCAUGGUAUAACGCAGAAAAAACAUGUGAGCAAAGGGCCGGCAAAAAGCCAGUAACCGUAAAAAGGCCGGGGGGCUGGCUUUUUUCCAUAUGCUCCGCCCCCCUGACUAGCAUCACAAAAAUCGACGCUCAAGUCAUAGGUGGCGAAACCCGACAGGACUAUAAAGAUACCAGGCGUUUCCCCCUGGAACCUACCUCGUGCGCUCUCCUGUUUCGACCCUGGCACUUACCGGAUACCUGUCCGCCUUUCUCCCUUCGGGAGGCUUGAUGCUAUCUCAUAGCU